Long non-coding RNA from Panicum virgatum (switchgrass), 1347 nucleotides. RefSeq lists it as uncharacterized. The record is from RefSeq and is a predicted model, not a curated record. NCBI's taxonomy places the organism in Eukaryota, Viridiplantae, Streptophyta, Magnoliopsida, Poales, Poaceae. The transcript has 2 exons.
ACGCGCGUCCUCGCCAUGCCGUGCCGCCUCCUCUUUCCUCUGCUGCUGCUGCUCGCCCGCUACGCACGCACCGGCACCGCCCGGCCGUGCCGUUGCUUGCCCCCGCCUCCCAGCGUCGCGCCAUGGCCGUCGUGGCCACGAGCAAAGCAGAGCCAUGGUUGCCGCCCGACCUCCACGCCGAGCCGUCAACUGAGCUCAUCCCUCCCUCCACCAACCCCCAAAACUGCUUGACCUCGGCUCCCGGAAGCUCCUUGGCCUCUCCUCCGCCCGCCCCGGCCACCGGAGUUCAUCGGAGUGAGCACAGUACCGCUACCGGCCGCCGCCCGCCGUGGAACCGCCGCCACGGACCACCUCCUCGCGCUCCAAGGCCACCUACAGGGACUCCAGACAGCAAUAGAAAGAACCCCAGGGUGUUUUCUGCGAAGUCCAUGACUCAGGUGAAUAGUGCUGCGAAGGGUUGUUUUGCAAUAAUUGGCUGAAACUUUGAAAAAUCAUAGUAAAUCAUAGAAAAAUCAGAAAAAUGCAAACUAAAAUUUGUUGGAUUCCUUGUCCUAAGAUCUACAACUUUCCUUACAGGUUGAUCUUCAGUUUCUAAAUAGUUUUUGCUCUAGUUUAAAUGAUAGUUUAAGUGGUUGCAAGCUUUGAAAAUGCAUAGUAAAUAGUAGAAAAAUGGUAAAAAUGUAAAACCAGUUGGAUUAGCUUUGAUUUGGCAUGUAGAACUUAGGAAAAAUAUUUAACCUGCUGUUUGUUUAAUAUUUUCAUGAUGUAUUGAUUUAAUCAUAGAUAAUGCUAGUUUCAACUUAUUUAUUUAAUAUCUACAGUUCUAGAUGUUGAAAAAUUAUAACAUUUAUGCAGUAGCUUAUUCUUUGCAUGUUUAGUUCACUGUAAAAAUUUCAUGUCCGAAAGCUAUGUACAUGUGUGUAAAUCUAUUUUUGUUCAGUUUGUCUUGUUGAGGAUAAAAUAAAUACUUUAUGUUAUCAAAAAAAUGUUGGUUAAUUAUUUUUACACUCCUUCUCAGUAGCAUAUCAUGUUGGUAAAUUUUGGUUACAAGUUUAAAGCUGUAAGUCAUGUUUCUGCUUUUGAUUAGUUGCUAGCCAAUCUUUUUCUGCAGGAUUAAUUUCAAUAAUUCAUAUUGAUCUUGCAUAAUUGAAGUUAAUUCCUAAGAUCAGAUUGUGGGUUACUUUCAUGUCACUUGGUUUUAUGUGCUUUUUAGUUGAAUAAAAAUCUCUAGUUAUCCGUCUUGCUCUGUGUAUUUGCUUUGUCGUUCUAAGCAAGUUUAGUAAUACUUUUUGAAGGAAACACUUCAGGCUAAAAUAAAUUGAAUGAAUUCUUGUAUUGCAACCCCAA